RNAcentral lists this long non-coding RNA (2045 nucleotides) under Sus scrofa (pig). Its description in RNAcentral is "lncRNA (ENSSSCG00040000223.1)". Lineage: Eukaryota; Metazoa; Chordata; Mammalia; Artiodactyla; Suidae. The record is from RNAcentral.
UUUUUUUUUUUUUUUGGCCUGUGCCCACAGCAUGUGGUAGUUCCCAAGCCAGGGACUGAACCCAUGCCACAGCAGUAACCAGAGCCACAGCAGUGACAACACCAGGUCCUUAACCAGCUCAGCCACCAGGAACUCCAAGAAUAAGCACUUUUAUAAUUAUGUAUUUGUGCAUGCAUACAUGUGCAAAAAAAAAUUGGAAGAACAUAUGUUAAAAUGUAAAUGGAAUUUGAAUGAUGGUGUUACAAAUGAUUUUUAUUUCUUACAAUUUCUUUUUUCUUUUUCUUUUUUUUGUCUUUUUUGCCAUUUCUUGGGCCGCUUCCGCGGCAUAUGGAGGUUCCCAGGGCAGCCAAAAAAAGAAAAAAAAAAAAAAGGGAGAUGAGCCCUCCAGCUGUCUUUAUUAAUUAUAAGAUACUAAUAAUGUAAAGCUAAGUUUCCAAAAGUGCCAAAAGACCAGAUCAGUAUUUAUUUAUCAGACAAUUGGUUAACACUGGCAAAGCGAACUUUAGAAGAAUAUUACCCUUGAGGGUGAACACUGGUUUGCAAAAACUAAAAUCUAUGUGAAAGACAAAAAUUCAAACAAACAAACAAAAACAAAAAACAAAACAAAACAAAAAAAAAACACCAACCAAACAAAAAAAACCCUCACUGGAAAAACAAGAGUGGUGUAACUGUAAAAAAUGAAUCUUAACCUGAGGAGACAUUGGGGUUUGAAACUUGCCUGGAGGCAGAGUGAUAAAUGCACAAAUAGAAACAAAUACAUCUCAUCAGUUGGCAACCUGAGUUUGCAGUUUGUGUUGUCUAAGACACUAUGUAUUCUUAUCCUUGUUGGUCUUUUAAGAUUCCUCCAUCCCCAGGAGGGUCUCAAAAUAUUACCCUUGGGUCCCCAGAGGAUAUUAAAAUUAGUAUUUAGAGAUAUAGGAGAGUGUAGGAGUACAGGCUCUGGCAGACUGCCUGAAAUCAAAGUCCAGCACUGCCUCUUCCUAUCUGUGGGACUCUAAGCAAAAUUUUUAACCUCUCAGUUUGCCCAUCUAUAACACUAAUGAAAUAAUGAAAGUAUGUAUUUCAUACGGUUAUUGAAAUGCUUAAACAGGGUAAUACAUGUGAGGCAUUUAGAAUAAUAUGCUAAGUAAGUGUUAGCAUUAGCUAAAAAGUCAUGUUAUAAUCCCAGGAAAGUAGAAAUAGUGAAAAAAUAAUUACACUGUGUUGUCCCUGUUUUAGGGUAGGUUUAAGUGUAAGUUUAGCCAUGAUACUGGGAUCAAAAUAUUUGUAUAUGUUGUCUAAAGCAUUAGAGCUUUUUGCACAAAUCACCUGAACUACAGCUGAAAUUGUAGUUGAAUCUGCUCUAUGUUUAAAUGCUUAAAGACAUUUUAAAAAGUUUAUUAGAUUAUGACUUUAAUACAUUGAGCAUUAAACAAAUUACACAUGGAGGUGAGCAGCAACACUCCCUAGCCGUUAAACAGCCAGCCAAUAAUCCCAAGGCGCUCAUCGCCCACGGGCUCUCUGCCAGGCUGACUUCAUCCCCCACUAGGUUUAGACUCCACCAGCAGUCACUCCAGUAAGCUCUCCAGGGUACUCAAGACUCUUCAAAUUCACAGAGAAUCACUGGCAGCAAAGGGUCAUCUCCACUUCUGUUUUCUCUCCCCCUAUUCCUGGAUCUCAGAGAAUUUCUGGAGAAAGUGCUCUUCCAAUUCUUAUUCUAUAUCUUCAAGUGCUUACCUGGAAGGCUUUUUACUAUCUCCAUCUUAGCUACACAGCUAUUCCAAACCUCCAGGCUGCCAUUCAAUUUCAGCAGAACUCUUUUACGACACUGACGCUUUGCAAGCAUGAGUUCCAGGACUGUGUAGUAGAAAGCAUCCCCAGGCCUGGAUUAUUGACAGUUAAGCCUCUAGCAAGUUACUUAAGCUAACAGUUGACACUCUCCUCUCCCCCACUGUUUAGUACCUACUUCAUAGAGCAGUUAUAAAUAGUAAAUGAGACAAUGAAUGUAAAGCAUAUAUCUUACAGUCUGUUCAAUAAAUGAAAGCCCCUUUCUUUCUUCUUUUUUA